This 462-nucleotide ribosomal RNA is filed under the name uncultured bacterium. RNAcentral describes it as "partial 16S ribosomal RNA". It matches the Rfam family "Bacterial small subunit ribosomal RNA", at positions 28 to 507 of the family's 1533-position model. The record is from RNAcentral.
GACGAACGCUGGCGGCGUGCUUAACACAUGCAAGUCGAACGGUAAGGCCUUUCGGGGUACACGAGUGGCGAACGGGUGAGUAACACGUGGGUGAUCUGCCCUGCACUUCGGGAUAAGCCCGGGAAACUGGGUCUAAUACCGGAUAGGACUGCGCGGUGCAUGCCGUGUGGUGGAAAGAUUUAUCGGUGCAGGAUGGGCCCGCGGCCUAUCAGCUUGUUGGUGGGGUAAUGGCCUACCAAGGCGACGACGGGUAGCCGGCCUGAGAGGGCGACCGGCCACACUGGGACUGAGACACGGCCCAGACUCCUACGGGAGGCAGCAGUGGGGAAUAUUGCACAAUGGGCGGAAGCCUGAUGCAGCGACGCCGCGUGAGGGAUGACGGCCUUCGGGUUGUAAACCUCUUUCAGCAGGGACGAAGCGUGAGUGACGGUACCUGCAGAAGAAGCACCGGCCAACUACGUG